Long non-coding RNA from Quercus robur (English oak), 1523 nucleotides. RefSeq lists it as uncharacterized. The record is from RefSeq and is a predicted model, not a curated record. NCBI's taxonomy places the organism in Eukaryota, Viridiplantae, Streptophyta, Magnoliopsida, Fagales, Fagaceae. The transcript is spliced from 2 exons.
CAAGCUUAAGUUUCUCUCUUACGAUUUUUCCAUGUGGCUACUUAAUUUUAAAAAUACACUUUUAUUCGUGAGAAAAAAGCCACAUAAUAAAAUCUUAAGUGAGGAAUAUGAGGAAUAACAUUUAAGAAUUGUAGCUAAGAUUUACCCUUCUUUAUUUGUGUAAACAAAACACUGUUACUCCCUCUUUCUCCUCCCAUAGACAGACCCACGCCUCUCAGCCUCUCCUAAAAAGACUGGUAAGCUCUCUCUCUCAUCCAUCCUCUCUCUACAAAAGUUUAUAAAGUUAAAUAUCAGAUCUGAUUUUCUGUGUGUGCCGUUUUAAAGUAUGGAUUUUGGGAUUAUUUUUGAAGUCUUUGCAUAGUAAUAGCAAUAAAUGCCUUCUGAUUGAUUGCCCAACAAUUUCUGUACAUGAAUAGUAAUUAUUUGCUCUAUGGAUCCUUAAUAUUUUGUAGUGUUGUGUACGUGUAUGUGUUUAAUAUAUUGAGUUAUCAUGAAUUAGCAAAAACCUUGGUAUUUGGAGAUUGUAUUGUACGCUUUUUAAAAAAAAAAAAAUCUAUAUAAUAGUUUGUUCUUAUUUAUUUAUAAGGUGUUUGGAUAUAUAAUUUCACUAGCCGUGCACAGAUUAAUUAAAAUUCAUAUCUAAAAUAAGAUCAAUUCAUUUUAUUAAAAUUAUAAAUUGUGGGAGAUGAGCAAACCUAUUUAAAUAAAUAGGUUUAAUUUCUUUUCAGAUUUUCCAAACUUUUAAUAAUACAAUUUUCAUGUAAAUAGUAAUUUAAUCGUAUUGGAACUUUGGCAAUAGAGCUUUAUGUAAAUUUAAAUUAACUUAAUAAAUUUAAUCUGUUUAAAGUGUAGUGAGAGCAUAAGGGGAGGGUAUAUAACAUAUGAUAUUAUAAUCCUUGCAUUAUUCUAGGCCUCUUUCCUGAAAGUACUGAAUUAAUAAGUUUGUGGUAUGCACAGCUUUUUUCCUUAGGCCUUGUAUUGUUCACCUUUCUUAUUAUGUUGUUUGCACUGCUUGUUGUGGACAAGUCUUGUGGCUGUUUCAUUUUAAUUCAUUUGUUUUUUUGAUUGGUAAUUUACUCAUCUUCUGAAUGUUGCUUGCUUUUCAGAUGAGCUCUGUGCCAAUGCUGCAUACACGUCUUCUGAAUUUACAUCUACUUUUUUUUUUUUUUCUCGGUUGUUGUUCUUCUAAUUAAAAGUUCAUAUGUUGGUAUAUGGUAGGUUAUAAUGCUAGUGGUUCAAAUUCAGAUGAAUUGAAGGGUGAUUCUUAGCAAACCCUUUAGGCCUAUAAGUCCGAAACAAUCAAAUAUAUGGGAUUGGUGACAAAAAGAUAGCUUUUGUGGGACUACUUGAACUCAAAUAAUUUUUUGUAAAGUUUGGAAGCUAAGACAUCAUUUGUAUAUAAAUGGUUGUAAUUACUUUGUGAACAUCUUUAUUGCAUUUUUAGAUUGUAUGGAUGUUUUUUUUUUAUGGAUUUGGUUAGAAAUGAAUGGAUGUUUGUUUUUAUGGAUUUGGUUAGAAAUGAA